This is a long non-coding RNA of Biomphalaria glabrata, 775 nucleotides long. RefSeq lists it as uncharacterized. The transcript is spliced from 2 exons. The record is from RefSeq and is a predicted model, not a curated record. NCBI's taxonomy places the organism in Eukaryota, Metazoa, Mollusca, Gastropoda, Planorbidae.
AGACUAAUUAGUAUGGGCUUAAUAUUACUGUAUUAUUUAGUUUAACUACAAUUUUUCAGGUCAGCAGCAUUACAGUAAGCACUGGUACAGCGUACCAGCACUUUUUUCAAUGCAGCGAAAAAGUUACUUUUGUAUUUUAAAGUUUAUUAUUUAUUUAUUAGUUGUUAAAAGGCAAUCCAUCACUGAGCUCCGGCACCUAUUUCUUUACAAAAAAGCACUGAUUACCUGUAUAUUCUUUAACAAUAACGGUUUACUAUUCUCAGGAAUUAGUCAUUCAAAAGACGGUGAGGAAAAGAAUGGUCGACAAACCUUGUGUGGUGCCUUAACAGUCCAACAGACUAAGGGAUAUAUAAAGGUGGAUCUUGAUAAAACUGCCUUGUUUUGUGGUUUGCACGAGACGGUUGACACAAUGAUCUGAAGUUCAAACUGCCAUUUUCUACUGUCCGCUGCGAGAUCUUGGCUGGAAUGUAAAAGGAAUGUCCAAAAUAUUUAAAUGACAAACAGGAUGGGAACUGAUUAUGAGGAAUGUAUGUCCAGUUUUUUUUUGUUUUUUUUUAAAUACAGAUAUGAAAGAUGACAGUACCCUAACUUAGAGUCAUAGGUCUUUCAUUAAUUUAUUUACUCAGAUGCUGAAACAGACAUCUGGCAUAUUCCUAUAAUCAGUAUCAUGGCCUUUGUAUACAACAAAAUUGAUUGGAACUCCUACACUAGAAAUAUAAUUCAAGAUUUAAAUAAGGCACUGGUCAUAGUUUUAGAAAGAGUGGCUAGCAUUCUG